AGAGUUUGAUUCUGGCUCAGAAUGAACGCUGGCGGCGUGCUUAACACAUGCAAGUCGUACGAGAACGUCUUAGCUUGCUAAGAUUAGUAAAGUGGCGCACGGGUGAGUAACGCGUGGGUAAUCUACCUUCGAAUCGGGGAUAACAUUGCGAAAGCGAUGCUAAUACCGGAUAAUAUCUAUGAUUCUUCGGGAUUUUAGAUCAAAGAUGGCCUCUACUUGUAAGCUAUUGUUUGAAGAUGAGUCCGCGUCCCAUUAGCUUGUUGGUGGGGUAAUGGCCUACCAAGGCAACGAUGGGUAGCUGGUCUGAGAGGAUGAUCAGCCACACUGGAACUGACACACGGUCCAGACUCCUACGGGAGGCAGCAGUGAGGAAUUUUGCGCAAUGGGGGAAACCCUGACGCAGCAACGCCGCGUGAGUGAUGAAGGCUUUCGGGUCGUAAAGCUCUGUCAAGUGGGAAGAAACUAUAUGAGGCCAAUACCUUUAUAUACUGACGGUACCACUGAAGGAAGCACCGGCUAACUCCGUGCCAGCAGCCGCGGUAACACGGGGGGUGCAAGCGUUAUUCGGAUUCACUGGGCGUAAAGAGCGCGUAGGCGGCCAGGUAAGUCAGAUGUGAAAGCCCGGGGCUCAACCCUGGAAGUGCAUCUGAAACUGCUUGGCUUGAGUAUGGGAGAGGGUAGUGGAAUUCCUGGUGUAGAGGUGAAAUUCGUAGAUAUCAGGAGGAACACCGGUGGCGAAGGCGACUACCUGGACCAAUACUGACGCUGAGGCGCGAAGGCGUGGGGAGCAAACAGGAUAGAUACCCUGGUAGUCCACGCAGUAAACGUUGUUCACUAGGUGUAGCGGGUAUUGACCCCUGCUGUGCCGCAGCUAACGCAUUAAGUGAACCGCCUGGGAAGUACGGCCGCAAGGCUAAAACUCAAAGAAAUUGACGGGGGCCCGCACAAGCGGUGGAGCAUGUGGUUUAAUUCGACGCAACGCGAAGAACCUUACCUGGAUUUGACAUCCCGGGAAUUCUAUCGAAAGACUGAAGUGCCCUUCGGGGAACCCGGUGACAGGUGCUGCAUGGCUGUCGUCAGCUCGUGUCGUGAGAUGUUGGGUUAAGUCCCGCAACGAGCGCAACCCCUGUCUUUAGUUGCCAGCAUUAAGUUGGGGACUCUAAAGAUACCGCCCCGGUUAACGGGGAGGAAGGUGGGGAUGACGUCAAGUCCUCAUGGCCUUUAUGUCCAGGGCUACACACGUGCUACAAUGGGCUGUACAGAGGGUAGCGAUGCCGCGAGGUGGAGCCAAUCCCAAAAAGCAGUCCCAAGUUCGGAUUGGAGUCUGCAACUCGACUCCAUGAAGUUGGAAUCGCUAGUAAUCGCGGAUCAGCAUGCCGCGGUGAAUACGUUCCCGGGCCUUGUACACACCGCCCGUCACACCAUGAGAGUUGAUUGUACCGGAAGUUGUUGGGCCAACCUUUCGAGGAGGCAGGCACCUAUGGUAUGAUUGAUGAUUGGGGUGAAGUCGAAACAAGGUA
RNAcentral lists this ribosomal RNA (1520 nucleotides) under metagenome. RNAcentral's name for it is "bacterial SSU rRNA". It matches the Rfam family "Bacterial small subunit ribosomal RNA". The record is from RNAcentral.